UGCCCACUGAAGUUUUAAAUGGCCGCAGUAUUCUAACUGUGCAAAGGUAGCAUAAUCAAUAGUCUUUUAAUUGAAGGCUGGUAUGAACGGUUGGACGAGGUAUAAGCUGUUUCAUAUAAAUUUAUAGUAGAAUUUUAUAUUUUAGUUAAAAAGCUAAAAUACUGUUAAAAGACGAGAAGACCCUAUAAAUCUUUAUAUUUUAUAUGAUUUAAGUUUUUUGGAUUUAUUUUAUUUUUAUUAUAUAAAAUAUUUUGUUGGGGUGAUGUUAAAAUUUGAUAAACUUUUAAUUUUUAGAAUCAUUAAUUUAUGAGUUAUUGAUCCAUUAAUAGUGAUUAUAAGAUUAAGUUACUUUAGGGAUAACAGCGUAAUUUUUUUGGARAGUUCAUAUCGAUAAAAAAGUUUGCSACCUCSAUGUUGGAUUAAGAUAUAAUUUUAGGUGUAGCCGCUUAAAU
Molecule: ribosomal RNA, 452 nt
Filed under: Dacus longicornis
Lineage: Eukaryota; Metazoa; Arthropoda; Insecta; Diptera; Tephritidae
Description: partial large subunit ribosomal RNA
Source: RNAcentral